GUGGGGAAUCUUCCGCAAUGGACGAAAGUCUGACGGAGCAACGCCGCGUGAGUGAUGAAGGUCUUCGGAUUGUAAAGCUCUGUUAAUCGGGACGAAAGAGCCUAGUGUGAAUAAUGCUAGGAAGUGACGGUACCGGAAUAGAAAGCCACGGCUAACUACGUGCCAGCAGCCGCGGUAAUACGUAGGUGGCAAGCGUUGUCCUGAAUUAUUGGGCGUAAAGCGCGCGCAGGCGGAUCUGCCAGUCUGUCUUAAAAGUUCGGGGCUUAACCCCGUGAUGGGAUGGAAACUACAGAUCUAGAGUAUCGGAGAGGAAAGUGGAAUUCCUAGUGUAGCGGUGAAAUGCGUAGAUAUUAGGAAGAACACCAGUGGCGAAGGCGACUUUCUGGACGAAAACUGACGCUGAGGCGCGAAAGCCAGGGGAGCGAACGGGAUUAGAUACCCUAGUAGUCC
This 450-nucleotide ribosomal RNA is filed under the name uncultured bacterium. RNAcentral describes it as "partial 16S ribosomal RNA". It matches the Rfam family "Bacterial small subunit ribosomal RNA", at positions 354 to 796 of the family's 1533-position model. The record is from RNAcentral.